CCCUUAGAUGUUCUGGGCCGCACGCGCGCUACACUGAUGCAUUCAACAAGCCUAGCCUUGACCGAGAGGUCCGGGUAAUCUUUGAAACUGCAUCGUGAUGGGGCUAGAUUAUUGCAAUUAUUAAUCUUCAACGAGGAAUGCCUAGUAAGCGUGAUUCAUCAAAUCGCGUUGAUUACGUCCCUGCCCUUUGUACACACCGCCCGUUGCUCCUACCGAUUGAAUGUGUUGGUGAGGAGCUCGGAUUGGCAGCAGUUGGUGGUUCGCCACCGGCUAUUGCUGAGAAGUCCUCCAAACCGCCCCAUUUAGAGGAAGGAGAAGUCGUAACA
RNAcentral lists this ribosomal RNA (326 nucleotides) under uncultured eukaryote. RNAcentral describes it as "partial 18S ribosomal RNA". It matches the Rfam family "Eukaryotic small subunit ribosomal RNA", at positions 1470 to 1796 of the family's 1831-position model. The record is from RNAcentral.